RNAcentral lists this RNase P RNA (431 nucleotides) under Bradyrhizobiaceae bacterium. RNAcentral's name for it is "Bacterial RNase P class A". It matches the Rfam family "Bacterial RNase P class A". From Rfam's summary of the family: Ribonuclease P (RNase P) is a ubiquitous endoribonuclease, found in archaea, bacteria and eukarya as well as chloroplasts and mitochondria. Lineage: Bacteria; Pseudomonadati; Pseudomonadota; Alphaproteobacteria; Hyphomicrobiales; Nitrobacteraceae. The record is from Rfam by way of RNAcentral.
UCAGCCGGCCGGACGGCCGCUCCCGCUAUGGUCGAAAGGCCGCGGGGGAGGAAAGUCCGGGCUCCAAUGACAUACGGUGCCGGAUAACGUCCGGCGGGGGCGACCCCAGGGAAAGUGCCACAGAGAACGAACCGCUCCGUGCUUGCACGAAGUAAGGGUGAAAAGGUGCGGUAAGAGCGCACCGCGGAUCCGGCAACGGAAACGGCAAGGUAAACCCCACCGGGAGCAAAACCGAAUAGGGACAGCAUGGCAGUUAGUUCGUGCACGGGCGCAAGCCCACGAACGAUAACACUGCAGGGUGAUGUCAAACCCGCUGUCCGGGUAGGUUGCUAGAGGCCGCAUGCAAAUGCGGUCCCAGAAGAAUGGCCGUCACGUAUCGUUGCGCAAGCCGCGAUGCCUUACAGAACCCGGCUUACAGGCCGGCUGAUAUC